Molecule: ribosomal RNA, 254 nt
Filed under: uncultured bacterium
Lineage: Bacteria
Description: partial 16S ribosomal RNA
Rfam family: Bacterial small subunit ribosomal RNA
Source: RNAcentral
CUUUCUUUGCUGGCGACCGGCGCACGGGUGAGUAACACGUAUCCAACCCGCCCUUUACUCGGGGAUAGCCUUUCGAAAGAAAGAUUAAUACCCGAUAGCAUAAUGAUUCCGCAUGGUUUCAUUAUUAAAGGAUUCCGGUAAAGGAUGGGGAUGCGUUCCAUUAGGUUGUUGGUGAGGUAACGGCUCACCAAGCCUUCGAUGGAUAGGGGUUCUGAGAGGAAGGUCCCCCACAUUGGAACUGAGACACGGUCCAA